Molecule: long non-coding RNA, 592 nt
Organism: Prionailurus viverrinus (fishing cat)
Lineage: Eukaryota; Metazoa; Chordata; Mammalia; Carnivora; Felidae
Exons: 4
Source: RefSeq, a predicted model, not a curated record
GCGGGACCAGAGGGAAGAGCGCAGGGGGCAGGAGGCACCGCACAGAGAGAGGGCAGCCCCGCGGCCCGGGCCCUUUGCCCGUCUUUGGGGAGCAGCUGAGCAGGCCCGGUCUUAGAGCUGCAGAAGCCAGAGGCAGAUCCUCCUUUGCACGCGUCUCGGCGCCUCGGACGCCGUCCUGCUCCUGCUCCUGCUCCGGGCAGAGGAACAAAGGGGAGCAGCUGAGGUUCUCUCUGGGCUGGUCCCCAGGAGCUGCCGGCGGAAUGGGUCCGCGGGGGCCCGAGGACUGACAGGAGCCUGUGUGCGGGUCCUGGGGUCUCCUGUGGAGCCUGCUGAGGGGGGCGCUCAGCCAAGGACCUGACCACGAUCUCAGGGGAUGCUGUGCACAGGCCUUGAAAAUGGGAGGGGCCUCUCCUCCAGAGUUAUUGGGAACGGCGGAAGGUUCUGGAAGACGCGUCUAUUAAGGAGGUCACUUCUGCCUGGCAACAAACCGGACCACGAGGCUGGAUCAGGUUCGGUGUGAAUGUCCACACUGGGCGGCCACGAGGCUGGAUCAGGCCGGGGGUGGGCGUCCACAUGGGGCAGCUGGGCUGGC